Molecule: ribosomal RNA, 468 nt
Filed under: uncultured bacterium
Lineage: Bacteria
Description: partial 16S ribosomal RNA
Rfam family: Bacterial small subunit ribosomal RNA
Source: RNAcentral
GACGAACGCUGGCGGCGUGCUUAACACAUGCAAGUCGAACGGAAAGGCCCUGUCUGGGGUGCAUGCGCGGGGGGCGAGCGGGUGAGUAACAAGUGAGUUGCCUGCCCUUUAUGUUGGAAGAACGUCAAGAAACGGGGGCUAAUACUGGAUGGGAGCUCCGGCUGCAUGGGGUUGGAUGGAAAGGUUCGGCGGGUGGGGAUGGACGCGCCGCUUAUCAGUUUGUGGGGGGGGGAGUGGCUUACCAGGGGUUUGGUGGGUGGCCGGCCUGGGAGGGUGCCCGGCACCAUUGGGCCUGAGCUCCGGCCCGGCCUCCUCCGGGAGGCAGCGGUGGGGAUUUUUGCACAAUGGGCGGAAGCCUGAUGCAGCAACGCCGCGUGCGGGAUGCCGGCCUUCGGGUUGUAACCCGCUUUCGCCUGUGACGAAGCGUGAGUGACGGUACUGGGUAAAGAAGCACCGGCUAACUACGUG